AUUGAACGCUGGCGGCAGGCCUAACACAUGCAAGUCGAGCGGAUGAAGGGAGCUUGCUCCUGGCUUCAGCGGCGGACGGGUGAGUAAUGCCUAGGAAUCUGCCUGGUAGUGGGGGAUAACGUCCGGAAACGGGCGCUAAUACCGCAUACGUCCUGAGGGAGAAAGUGGGGGAUCUUCGGACAUCACGCUAUCAGAUGAGCCAAGGUCGGAUUAGCUAGUUGGUGGGGUAAAGGCCUACCAAGGCGACGAUCCGUAACUGGUCUGAGAGGAUGAUCAGUCACACUGGAACUGAGACACGGUCCAGACUCCUACGGGAGGCAGCAGUGGGGAAUAUUGGACAAUGGGCGAAAGCCUGAUCCAGCCAUGCCGCGUGUGUGAAGAAGGUCUUCGGAUUGUAAAGCACUUUAAGUUGGGAGGAAGGGCAGUAAGUUAAUACCUUGCUGUUUUGACGUUACCAACAGAAUAAGCACCGGCUAACUUCGUG
Molecule: ribosomal RNA, 484 nt
Filed under: uncultured bacterium
Lineage: Bacteria
Description: partial 16S ribosomal RNA
Rfam family: Bacterial small subunit ribosomal RNA
Source: RNAcentral